CCCGCAGACGGGGUGUCCCCGAGGACUGGGAGAGGACGGAGACGGCGGGGAUGGGAAGAAGAGUCGGAGGCACAGGAAGUACUCAACAAACCCUAGCAGAAUCAACAAGAGUUCCAGCAUGCAGCUGACCACUCCCUAUACCAAAGGCUGUUUCUGAAGUGGCACCAAGUUUGUUAGAGAAGGAGCAGAGCUACAAGUCCCGGAGCCAGACCACAGA
This 217-nucleotide long non-coding RNA is filed under the name Homo sapiens (human). RNAcentral's name for it is "HSALNT0002959". Lineage: Eukaryota; Metazoa; Chordata; Mammalia; Primates; Hominidae. The record is from RNAcentral.